RNAcentral lists this ribosomal RNA (402 nucleotides) under Bacteroidota bacterium. Its description in RNAcentral is "Bacteroidetes bacterium partial 16S ribosomal RNA". It matches the Rfam family "Bacterial small subunit ribosomal RNA", at positions 355 to 776 of the family's 1533-position model. The record is from RNAcentral. Lineage: Bacteria; Pseudomonadati; Bacteroidota.
UGGGGAAUUUUGCACAAUGGGGGAAACCCUGAUGCAGCGACGCCGCGUGAUUUAGAAGGCCUUCGGGUUGUAAAAAUCUUUUUUACGGGAUGAAAAUGACAGUACCGUAAGAAUAAGGUCCGGCUAAAUACGUGCCAGCAGCCGCGGUAAUACGUAUGGACCGAGCGUUGUCCGGAAUCAUUGGGCGUAAAGGGUACGUAGGCGGCCUAGUAAGUUAGAAGUUAAAGAAUAUAGCUCAACUAUAUAAAGCUUUUAAAACUGCUAGGCUUGAGGGAUGGAAGGGAAAGUGGAAUUCCUGGUGUAGCGGUGAAAUGCGCAGAUAUUAGGAAGAAUACCGGUGGCGAAGGCGACUUUCUGGUCAUCAUCUGACGCUGAGGUACGAAAGCGUGGGUAGCAAACAGG